This 774-nucleotide ribosomal RNA is filed under the name uncultured Neocallimastigales. Its description in RNAcentral is "partial large subunit ribosomal RNA". It matches the Rfam family "Eukaryotic large subunit ribosomal RNA", at positions 24 to 618 of the family's 3401-position model. Lineage: Eukaryota; Fungi; Neocallimastigomycota; Neocallimastigomycetes; Neocallimastigales. The record is from RNAcentral.
UAUCUCUGUAGAGUCUGCAUAUCAAUAAGCGGAGGAAAAGGAACUAACUAAGGAUUCCCUCAGUAACGGCGAGUGAAGCGGGAAGAGCUCAAAUUUGAAAUCUUCAAGGUUCUACCUUGACGAAUUGUAGUUUAAAGAAGUGUUUUCUGUUGAAGUUUCGGUAAAAGUUCUUUGGAAUAGGACAUCAUAGAGGGUGAGAAUCCCGUAUUUGACCAUUAUUUCCAGCUUUGUGAUACACUUUCAAAGAGUCGGAUUGUUUGGGAAUGCAGUCCAAAAUGGGUGGUAAAUUUCAUCUAAAGCUAAAUAUUGGCGAGAGACCGAUAGCGAACAAGUACCGUGAGGGAAAGAUGAAAAGAACUUUGAAAAGAGAGUUAAACAGUACGUGAAAUUGUCAAAAGGGAAGCGUUUGACACCAGUGUUGUUUCUACGAAAAUCAAUUUAUGAUGGCUUGAUGCUAAGCUUUAAGACUUUAUCCGCUUGUUGUUUAGUUUUCUUGUCUUUGUGAAUGCACUUUUCGUGGAACAAGUCAACAUCAAUUUCUUUUGCUGUAAAAGGGUAAGAGGAAGGUGGCUUCGGCUUCGGUUGAAGUGUUUAUAGCCUUUUAUCUCUGCAGUCGGAGAGAUUGAGGUCUGCAGCGUAGACUCUUCGGGGUUAGAUACGUCGGUGCUAAGCUAUAGCUUUUCAUAGACAGCUUGUUGACUAUGUUUAGUCAUGUGGCUUACCCGCUGGCGCUAUUUUACCUACGCUUAGGAUGUUGAGUCAUCACACAUCUCU